GACGAACGCUGGCGGCGUGCCUAAUACAUGCAAGUAGAACGCACAGUUUAUACCGUAGCUUGCUACACCAUAGACUGUGAGUUGCGAACGGGUGAGUAACGCGUAGGUAACCUGCCUGGUAGCGGGGGAUAACUAUUGGAAACGAUAGCUAAUACCGCAUAAUAUUGAUUAUUGCAUGAUAAUUGAUUGAAAGAUGCUAUUGCAUCACUACCAGAUGGACCUGCGUUGUAUUAGCUAGUAGGUGAGGUAACGGCUCACCUAGGCGACGAUACAUAGCCGACCUGAGAGGGUGAUCGGCCACACUGGGACUGAGACACGGCCCAGACUCCUACGGGAGGCAGCAGUAGGGAAUCUUCGGCAAUGGACGAAAGUCUGACCGAGCAACGCCGCGUGAGUGAAGAAGGUUUUCGGAUCGUGAAGCUCUGUUGUAAGAGAAGAACGGGUGUGAGAGUGGAAAGUUCACACUGUGACGGUAUCUUACCAGAAAGGGACGGCUAACUACGUG
RNAcentral lists this ribosomal RNA (505 nucleotides) under uncultured bacterium. RNAcentral describes it as "partial 16S ribosomal RNA". It matches the Rfam family "Bacterial small subunit ribosomal RNA", at positions 28 to 507 of the family's 1533-position model. The record is from RNAcentral.